UUUUGCUUUCAAGAAGACAGUUAAAAAAAAUUGAUACCCUUUAAAUUGUUUUCUCAUAUCGCCUACAUGUUCAUGCCCACCCCUCUCCAGCGUUAGGCCAAACGACAUUAUUCCCUACCCACCAUCAAAGGGUCAAACAUUCUACCUUUCUGGGAAUGCGCAUCUAGCUUGAUGCUCGGUGUUGUUGAUUACGCUUGCGCACCCAAGCAUUGGUUAUUCCUGAACAUCCUGCUAAGAUCGCUUAUUGGUGCCGAUUGCGUUCACCCGAUCAAAUAUUUCAUAUUCAUCCACUCCCACUGAAUUUGCAAGCUAAGGUUGUUGAGUAUGUCUCAUAUUAGAACUCGAAGACCCGAAGACCGGAGCAGUAGCAAGAUCGGACGAAAAAAGAGAGGGGCGAGAUCUCAGAUUCCCCUGAGAUUAUAUUUCAUAUUUUAUAGAGAUUUCGUUAUAUUUCUUAAUUUUUAAAUAGGGAAAUUAUAUCUGGGGGAUAUUAGAGAUAUUUCUAUUAAUAUCUUCAGAAUAUUUCACGUGGGGAAUAUCCUAGGGUUAUAUUAUGAUAUCUUUGAGAUAUUAUGUAUUGUAUCUAUUUAAAGAGGAGAGGAUCUUGUAUUAAGAUAACACGUUGUGUGAGAAUCACAGAUAAUCUUCUUUGAAA
This is a non-coding RNA of Punica granatum (pomegranate), 655 nucleotides long. Lineage: Eukaryota; Viridiplantae; Streptophyta; Magnoliopsida; Myrtales; Lythraceae. The record is from RefSeq and is a predicted model, not a curated record.